Molecule: ribosomal RNA, 496 nt
Filed under: uncultured bacterium
Lineage: Bacteria
Description: partial 16S ribosomal RNA
Rfam family: Bacterial small subunit ribosomal RNA
Source: RNAcentral
AUGAACGCUGGCGGCGUGCCUCAUACAUGCCAGUCGAGCGAACAGACGAGGAGCUUGCUCCUCUGAUGUUAGCGGCGGACGGGUGAGUAACACGUGGAUAACCUACCUAUAAGACUGGGAUAACUUCGGGAAACCGGAGCUAAUACCGGAUAACAUGUUGAACCGCAUGGUUCAACAGUGAAAGACGGUCUUGCUGUCACUUAUAGAUGGAUCCGCGCCGCAUUAGCUAGUUGGUAAGGUAACGGCUUACCAAGGCAACGAUGCGUAGCCGACCUGAGAGGGUGAUCGGCCACACUGGAACUGAGACACGGUCCAGACUCCUACGGGAGGCAGCAGUAGGGAAUCUUCCGCAAUGGGCGAAAGCCUGACGGAGCAACGCCGCGUGAGUGAAGAAGGUCUUCGGAUCGUAAAACUCUGUUAUUAGGGAAGAACAAAUGUGUAAGUAACUAUGCACGUCUUGACGGUACCUAAUCAGAAAGCCACGGCUAACUACGUG